RNAcentral lists this ribosomal RNA (377 nucleotides) under uncultured eukaryote. RNAcentral's name for it is "partial 18S ribosomal RNA". It matches the Rfam family "Eukaryotic small subunit ribosomal RNA", at positions 592 to 976 of the family's 1831-position model. The record is from RNAcentral.
CAAUAGCGUAUAUUAAUGUUGUUGCAGUUAAAAAGCUCGUAGUUGGAUUUCUGAUGGGAGCCCUGGUCACUUUAACGAGUGUACUGAUGUGGCGUCCUGUCGUUUCAUGGGGAUGCUUGCUGGUAUUAAGUUAUCGGCUUGUGGAUCCAUGUCGUUUACUGUGAAAAAAUUAGAGUGUUCAAAACAGGCCAUCGCUGUGAAUACAUUAGCAUGGAAUAAUAAGAUAGGACUGUGGUGCUAUUUUGUUGGUUUGCGUACUACGGUAAUGAUUAAUAGGGAUAGUUGGGGGUAUUCAUAUUCAAUUGUCAGAGGUGAAAUUCUUGGAUUUAUGGAAGAUGAACUACUGCGAAAGCAUUUACCAAGGAUGUUUUCAUUAA